CCUACGGGCGGCAGCAGUAGGGAAUAUUGCACAAUGGGGGAAACCCUGAUGCAGCAACGCCGCGUGAAGGAUGAAGGUUUUCGGUUCGUAAACUCCUUUCGUUAGAGAAGAUAAUGACGGUAUCUAACGAAUAAGCACCGGCUAACUCCGUGCCAGCAGCCGCGGUAAUACGGAGGGUGAAAGCGUUACCCGGAUUCACUGGGGGUAAAGGGCGCGUAGGCGGGAUAGCAAGUCAGAUGUGAAAUCCCAUGGCUUAACCAUGGAACUGCAUUUGAAACUGUUAAUCUAGAGUAUGGGAGAGGUAGGUGGAAUUCUUGGGGUAGGGGUAAAAUCCGUAGAGAUCAAGAGGAAUACUCGUUGCGAAGGCGACCUGCUAGAACAUAACUGACGCUGAUGCGCGAAAGCGUGGGGAGCAAACAGGAUUAGAUACCCUAGUAGUC
RNAcentral lists this ribosomal RNA (440 nucleotides) under uncultured bacterium. RNAcentral's name for it is "partial 16S ribosomal RNA". It matches the Rfam family "Bacterial small subunit ribosomal RNA", at positions 338 to 795 of the family's 1533-position model. The record is from RNAcentral.